Molecule: small nuclear RNA, 121 nt
Organism: Cryptomeria japonica (Japanese cedar)
Lineage: Eukaryota; Viridiplantae; Streptophyta; Pinopsida; Cupressales; Cupressaceae
Source: RefSeq, a predicted model, not a curated record
UUUACUUAUAUACGAAGAGAUGGUUGGCAUCUCCUUUGAUAAGGAUGGGAACAAUCUUCAGACUAUUCCUUCACAUAUGAUUAGGGCUAUCCACCAAUGGUGGUUCUUACCCAAAUUUAUU